GAUGAACGCUAGCUACAGGCUUAACACAUGCAAGUCGAGGGGAAACGGCAUUAAGUGCUUGCACUUUUUGGACGUCGACCGGCGCACGGGUGAGUAACGCGUAUCCAACCUUCCCAUGACUAAGGGAUAACCUGCCGAAUGGCAGACUAAUCCCUUAUGGUCUUCACUGACGGCAUCAGAUGUGAAGUAAAGAUUUAUCGGUUAUGGAUGGGGAUGCGUCUGAUUAGCUUGUUGGCGGGGUAACGGCCCACCAAGGCAACGAUCAGUAGGGGUUCUGAGAGGAAGGUCCCCCACAUUGGAGCUGAGACACGGACCAAACUCGGACGGGAGGCAGCAGUGAGGAAUAUUGGUCAAGGGGCGAGAGCCUGAACCAGCCAAGUAGCGUGCAGGAUGACGGCGCUAUGGGUGGUAAACUGCUUUUGUAUGAGGAUAAAGUCAAUCACGUGUGAUUGUUUGCAGGUACCAUAAGAAUAAGGACCGGCUAAUUCCGUG
This 492-nucleotide ribosomal RNA is filed under the name uncultured bacterium. RNAcentral's name for it is "partial 16S ribosomal RNA". It matches the Rfam family "Bacterial small subunit ribosomal RNA", at positions 28 to 507 of the family's 1533-position model. The record is from RNAcentral.